This 403-nucleotide ribosomal RNA is filed under the name uncultured bacterium. Its description in RNAcentral is "partial 16S ribosomal RNA". It matches the Rfam family "Bacterial small subunit ribosomal RNA", at positions 30 to 526 of the family's 1533-position model. The record is from RNAcentral.
AUUGAACGCUGGCGGCAGGCCUAACACAUGCAAGUCGAGCGAGCGGAGGACGGGUGAGUAAUGUAUGGGGACUGCCCGAUAGAGGGGGAUAACUACUGGAAACGGUUGCUAAUACCGCAUACCGUCGGAUGACCCAUAUGGGAUUAGCUCGUGGGUAAGGUAAUGGCUUACCUAGGGGACGUUCCCUAGCGGGUCUGAGAGGAUGAUCAGACAACCUGGGACUGAGACACGGCCCAGACUCCUACGGAGGCAGCAGUGGGGAAUAUUGCACAAUGGGCGCAAGCCUGAUGCAGCCAUGCCGCGUGGAUGAAGAAGGCCCUAGGGUUGUAAAGUACUUUCAGUCGGGAGGCGUUACCGACAGAAGAAGCACCGGCUAACUCCGUGCCAGCAGCCGCGGUAAUUC